Cavia porcellus (domestic guinea pig) is the source of this 3268-nucleotide long non-coding RNA. RefSeq lists it as uncharacterized. The record is from RefSeq and is a predicted model, not a curated record. NCBI's taxonomy places the organism in Eukaryota, Metazoa, Chordata, Mammalia, Rodentia, Caviidae. The transcript has 5 exons.
CAGCUCAAGGGCCUGGGUUCUGCCCCGGUAUAAACACACACAAGGGGGCGCCUACUCUGUCCAAGGUGCUCAAGGAGAAUGGCUUCCACUUCAGAUAAGGUCUCAAAACUUGAAGUCACUAGUCAAGGCCCAUGCUGGCCUUGAAUUUGAGAUAAUCCUACUGCCUCAGCCAUCUGAAUACUGGGAUUACAGAUGGAACAACUAGAUGGAGACAGAGAAUGUUUUUGGAGAAGAGUGGAAAGAAUUCCUAGGAACAGCUAACACCCUCUCAGAUUCUUUCCAGACACUGUGCUUAGGAAUGCCGGGACUUGCGUUUUUCAGCAGAGCAUUGUCCUGCAGUCCACACCUGGAUGUUACCCUAGGAAAGGUGCAGCAUGGGAGGAUUUUCCAUCCUCACCUCCACCAUCUCAUGAGGACUCUAAGGCCCUGCCACCAUAGAGACUGACAUGGGAGGAAGUGGAAGAAACCUGCCCAGGUCUAAGGGUGCACUCUGGGAUCAUUUCUGCAAGGUGGUCACCAGACAUCUAUCAGCUGCCAUCAUAGGAAGUCUCCCUGGGGAUGCCAGAGAGGGUGGAGCAUUGACCAGAGCUCCAGCCCCCCGCAGUGAAUACUGCUCAUUGCUGGGGUGCUGGGCACCAGGGAGAUAACUCACCUCGAGUUCUUGACUUUCACAUAAUGCCUUUUCAGUAACCUUGAGUGGAAUCUUCCUCACUGCUGUGUGAAAUGCUCAUACAGAGUCCUUUAGAAGACUGAGCCUGUGGGCUGGGCGCCUUGAUAAAAUGAGUGUCAGGUUGGCAACUGUGUAGUGAGGAGCACUGAUCUUGCUCUCGGUUACUCUCUCCCCACAUGUGAAAGGCACCAUUUUUAAUAUCCCAACCCUAACUACAUUUUCCUCAAACUCUCCUUUCUGCUAAUGUUUCCAAGAUUGCAACAGUCCCACUAUUGUUGGAGGCACUGAAGCUGAAUACAUGUGCAGGGCUGUGGUGUGGCCGGGCAUGGUUGAACUGAGAAUGAGACACCUCAGGGGGCAAGACAGGCCACAGCGGAGGCCAGCUGGAGACUUUCUGAAUGGUUUUCCUUAAUUAGCAUCAUCUGUUGCUCUGCGGGGUCCUUGAACCCCGCCCAAGAUCCUGCUCAGGUUUCUUGCAUUUUCCACUCAACUCCUUGCUUGUUCUGAUUAAAUAUGGCUGCCCAGGGUCAGUCAGCUGGUCAGCUAGCAGGGUUACGAGCUAUGUGGAGGCUUUCAGUCCUCCUGCAGCCCUAAAGAUCAGGCUGCUUGUCUCACUGCUUUGAGCCUUUGCUGUGCAUCCGUUUGGGAGAUUGAGGAUCUAAGUAUAGACCCCAACACACUAUCACAAAUACUAAUGUCCCAAUGUUUUGAAACAACACUAGAAAUGCAAGCAAGAGGUUGUAUCACUAUUUUAUUUUUGUAUGUGUGUGCUGGAGAAUUGAAUUCGACCUUGGGCUUACCAUGCAAGCACUUGAGCCACUGAGCUAAAUUCCUGGCCCUCAAGGGGUUAAAAUAGAGCUUUGAAAAUUAAGGUUUUUUUAAGAAGUAAAAAUCAACGUUCUCCAAGCGUAAACUGCCACCCCCAGGCAGGAGAACUCAACCCCUCCAGCCUUGUGUGGCAAUGCUUGACUGAAUCUAUAAAUGGAUGUUUCCCGGCUCUUGUUGGUUCCUUUCUAUAAAUUAAGGUCCUUCUAUAUUCAGGGUGUGUGUGUGGUGGGGUCCCUCUGCUCCGAUAUGGCAAAUUGGCAAAUGAACUCAUUUGCCCACUUCCAGGGGGCUUGUAGUUUGGGUUACGAGGAGAUAAACCUCAAAACCUAGAGAGCUGGGUUCCGAGUCAGCGAUGACUGAUCUGCAGCUGGAAACAGAGAGACUUCUUUUCUUCCUACGUUUGCCCCAUACACAGCUAGUGUUCCAAGGUAGUCUCUCCCCAGAAGGCCCAUGCUCAUUUCACACCCUUCCUGCCUUCACUGAUUUGGAUGCCGGCUGCCCCAGCCCCUCCUAGAGGUCUCCUUUCACACCUGGGAAACUACCUAUCAUUCAGCUCCCAGGUCUCAGCUCCAGACCCUUCAGUGAACCCCAGUACGACCUUGACACUAGAUCGUAGUUCAGAUUUCCAUAUUAUACGGUUUCAUAGGAGCAGGUAUCACUACUUCAGUGUAUUUAUUGCAGUUGUGAUGUUUUAUUUGAAUUGAAUAAUAUCUGGGUCUGCUUCUCCCCUAGACACAAAGCCAUUAGGGAGGUGUCUUAAUUUCUUUCCUCCCCUUGGAGACACAACAUCCGAUGUUAUUGUUUGCUUGGUUUUUUGUUCUUCUUGAGACAGGGUCUUGCUAUGCAGUUCAGGCCGGGCUUGAGCUCAUUUUGUACCCCAGGCUGGUCUCGAAUUUGCAACGAUCCUCCUGCCUCAGCCUCUGCCUCGCAGUUGGUACAGGUUUCCGUCCACACUCAACAAGACCCCAGGCAGGACAGCCGGCACAGCUGCUGGCCACAAGGUGCCAAGGAGCAGAGCGAGGGGAGGAGCCCUGAAGAGAAACCCUUUCCGGCCACAUCCCCGAGACACGCCUCUCCCUGCCUAAUCCGACUCUGAGCAGCCCAAUCAGCACUACGCCUCGAAUCACAUCGCCUCCCAGAAGCCCCGCCUACGAGCGAGCCUCUUAGAACCUCUUAGAGCUAGAGUGCUCCAUGAGGCUGACUCGCAGGGCCCGCUUUGGCCACUGGGACAUAGGUUCGCCACCCCUGCUGCAGGGAGACAGCUAGCUACUAACUAUAAACCCUAAUAGGAAGGGACUUCUCACUCUCACCAGGAAAUUCUCUGCCCUGCCUGAGGAACCUUGUGGAAUAAUCUUUUUUUUCCUCCCUACAAUGAAGUCACUAGGCUUCGAUCCACUGUAUUUGUGGCUGCAAAGUAACUACAUAAAUUGGGUAAAAUUAACCUGGACUGCCUAAGGAUUUAAUAUGGGUUAACAGAAUAAUUUAAUCUGGAGAAUAAUAAUCAAAUUUGGGGAGGUAAAAAAAAGGCUCAGAGGUCGGGGACAGAUAUAGCUCGGCGGCACAGCGCCUGCCUGGCAAGUGCAAGGUUGUGAGUUUGAUUCUCGGUUUCAAAAAAGAAAAAAGAGAAAAAAGGCUCAAAGCUGAAAUGCCACAGCCUAAGUACAUGCAGAUGUACAUGGUUGUCCACCUUAGGACCAAGGAUCUAACUCAGUUGUGUAAGUGCCUGUCUGGCAAGCACAAGGUCCUGAGUUCAAUUCCUAAUACAAAAAA